AAAGAAAGGGCUGUAACCACUAA
This 23-nucleotide non-coding RNA is filed under the name Cricetulus griseus (Chinese hamster). The record is from RNAcentral. Lineage: Eukaryota; Metazoa; Chordata; Mammalia; Rodentia; Cricetidae.